RNAcentral lists this ribosomal RNA (431 nucleotides) under uncultured bacterium. RNAcentral describes it as "partial 16S ribosomal RNA". It matches the Rfam family "Bacterial small subunit ribosomal RNA", at positions 29 to 507 of the family's 1533-position model. The record is from RNAcentral.
AACGAACGCUGGCGGCAGGCCUAACACAUGCAAGUCGAGCGCCCCGCAAGGGGAGCGGCGGACGGGUGAGUAACGCGUGGGAAUAUGCCCUUUGCUACGGAAUAGUCUCGGGAAACUGGGGGUAAUACCGUAUACGCCCUUUGGGGGAAAGAUUUAUCGGCGAAGGAUUAGCCCGCGUUGGAUUAGGUAGUUGGUGGGGUAAUGGCCUACCAAGCCGACGAUCCAUAGCCGGUUUGAGAGGAUGAUCAGCCACACUGGGACUGAGACACGGCCCAGACUCCUACGGGAGGCAGCAGUGGGGAAUCUUAGACAAUGGGGGCAACCCUGAUCUAGCCAUGCCGCGUGAGUGAUGAAGGCCUUAGGGUUGUAAAGCUCUUUCAGCUGGGAAGAUAAUGACGGUACCAGCAGAAGAAGCCCCGGCUAACUCCGUG